AUUCCUGAUGACUCCAGUUCACCUUUUUCAACUGUGGCGGAAGUUAGGCCACAGUGUUCUGUAGCCCUAUCAGUGUCCCCGAUUCCGUGGAAGCAUUCCCAUGAGCACCCUGUGCCAGCAUCGAUCGCAUGGGUCAAAGGUCACCCGUGCGGGACUUGUUAGCUGGAGGCUGCGUGCAGCACAAAGAUUUAUAAAUGAAGCUCCUGGAACCUGCUUGAAACAUAUUUGCAUAAAAUCUGCAGAGUGUGCCGGAACGGAAUAACUAGCUGUUAAUGCAGUGAUGUCACUCUCUCUUGAAUAUGGACAGUCAGAGAUGGGAUGAUUGAAAUUCACAGAAAUAGAGAUUGUUCUCUUUGUCCCCAGAGGAACUUAAUGUAGGAUAUUUUACCGAACAGAAUUGUGGGUGCCCGUAGGGUCGGUCUGACAGUAGACCCAGACAGGUGCAAAUUAAAGAGGGAAGGACAAUAGUAGAGGUUAG
Molecule: long non-coding RNA, 478 nt
Organism: Carassius carassius (crucian carp)
Lineage: Eukaryota; Metazoa; Chordata; Actinopteri; Cypriniformes; Cyprinidae
Exons: 3
Source: RefSeq, a predicted model, not a curated record